CUACGGGGGGCUCCAGUUAGGAAUAAUCUACAAUGCACGCAAGUGUGAUAGUUUGAACCAGAGUGCGUUUCAAUGAAACGCUUUUGCUGAAUGUAAAAAGUUCGGCGAAUAAGGACUGGGUAAGACUAGUGCCAGCCGCCGCGGUAAUACUAGCGGUCCAAGUCGCAGCCAUAUUUAUUGGGUCUAAAACAUCCGUAGCUUGUUUAGUAAGUCUCUUGUGAAAUUUUGUAUCUCAAAUACGAAGCGGGCAAGAGGUACUGCUGAACUAGAGACUGGAAGACGGAAGAAGUACGUUCAGAGUAGCGGUUAAAUGUUUUAAUCCUGAAUGGACUAACAAUAGCGAAGGCAUCUUCCGAGGACAGUUCUGACAGUAAGGGAUGAAGGCUAGGGUCGCAAAAGGGAUUAGAUACCCCCGUAGUC
RNAcentral lists this ribosomal RNA (420 nucleotides) under uncultured archaeon. RNAcentral describes it as "partial 16S ribosomal RNA". It matches the Rfam family "Archaeal small subunit ribosomal RNA", at positions 323 to 746 of the family's 1478-position model. The record is from RNAcentral.